This is a non-coding RNA of Schistosoma haematobium, 45 nucleotides long. The record is from Rfam. Lineage: Eukaryota; Metazoa; Platyhelminthes; Trematoda; Strigeidida; Schistosomatidae.
AUCCAGAUGACGAGUUCAAAAUAGAACGAAACGAAUGUCCUGGCU